RNAcentral lists this ribosomal RNA (301 nucleotides) under uncultured bacterium. Its description in RNAcentral is "partial 16S ribosomal RNA". It matches the Rfam family "Bacterial small subunit ribosomal RNA", at positions 509 to 809 of the family's 1533-position model. The record is from RNAcentral.
CAGCAGCCGCGGGAAUACGUAGGGUGCUAGCGUUGUUCGGAUUUACUGGGCGUAAAGCGCACGUAGGCGGAUCGAUCAGUCAGGGGUGAAAUCCCAGAGCUCAACUCUGGAACUGCCUUUGAUACUGUCGAUCUGGAGUAUGGAAGAGGUGAGUGGAAUUCCGAGUGUAGAGGUGAAAUUCGUAGAUAUUCGGAGGAACACCAGUGGCGAAGGCGGCUCACUGGUCCAUUACUGACGCUGAGGUGCGAAAGCGUGGGGAGCAAACAGGAUUAGAUACCCCGGUAGUCCCUGUCUCUUAUAA